Molecule: long non-coding RNA, 603 nt
Filed under: Physcomitrium patens
Lineage: Eukaryota; Viridiplantae; Streptophyta; Bryopsida; Funariales; Funariaceae
Description: long non-coding RNA (PPAT_LNC007950)
Source: RNAcentral
UGCAUUUGUCCAAACCAGCAACACUCAUCACUAAACCUCCGAUAUAGUAGUAACCAAUACCACCAUGCCACCGUUUUGUGCAGACUGCAAUCCCUGCAUUGUUGGCAACUGCAAUAGACCAGUCUGAACAAAGUCCAGGGCCAUUGAAGCUUACCGCAUAACUCCGUUGUUGCCUUGUAUGCCAACGUCGUUGAAUCUAGAAUAAGAUCGCCAUUCCUAUUGCCGCUAAACUAAACUUGUAGCAUCAAGGAACAAUUGAAUUUCAAUAUUGUUUCGCGGUGCCAUAAUGCUACCAAUAACAACAAGAGGGAGCGCAACAAUUCUCUUGCCACACAAUACGGAACUAAAAUGAAAUAAAAAGCCACCAUGACUUGAGCCACCCCAACUCCUCGACCAGAUCGGCACAUUGUCACUACAAUCCGCAAGGCCUUGCUGCAGCCGCAGCAUGCACCUGUCAAUUUCAACAACCAUAGACUCUACCUAACGCAGAGUUGUCAAAUCGCACAUAAUGCCAACCUUCGACAGCUCGUUCCCCGUUGAUCUUCAACGGCUAGAAUAAAACCGAUAUCAACCCAGUCCACUAAAAUAAAAAAAAAUAAAAAU